Molecule: ribosomal RNA, 301 nt
Filed under: uncultured bacterium
Lineage: Bacteria
Description: partial 16S ribosomal RNA
Rfam family: Bacterial small subunit ribosomal RNA
Source: RNAcentral
CAGCAGCCGCGGUAAUACGUAGGUGGCAAGCGUUGUCCGGAAUUAUUGGGCGUAAAGCGCGCGCAGGUGGUUUAAUAAGUCUGAUGUGAAAGCCCACGGCUCAACCGUGGAGGGUCAUUGGAAACUGUUAAACUUGAGUGCAGGAGAGAAAAGUGGAAUUCCUAGUGUAGCGGUGAAAUGCGUAGAGAUUAGGAGGAACACCAGUGGCGAAAGCGGCUCUCUGGCUUGUAACUGACGCUGAGGCUCGAAAGCGUGGGGAGCAAACAGGAUUAGAUACCCCUGUAGUCCCUGUCUCUUAUAC